RNAcentral lists this long non-coding RNA (393 nucleotides) under Mytilus galloprovincialis (Mediterranean mussel). Lineage: Eukaryota; Metazoa; Mollusca; Bivalvia; Mytilida; Mytilidae. The record is from RNAcentral.
GGCGUAUUUGUUAGUGCGAAACCAGUUUUAGUUUGUUAAACUUUCCAUUUGUUAAUGAUAACCAGUUUGAAACUAGUUUCGAACCUACACUGGUUUGCCGUGUGUUAUUCUGAAACGCGAACUGGUUCCAGAAACUAAUCAAACCAUGUCCAAUGGUGGUUUGUGGUUUCGGUUUAGGAUUUAAAAUGGCGGCAAUGUUGAUGCAGUGUAGUGGUCGCGAAAAAUUUUAUGCAGAUUCUAUGGGCAAAUUGAUUUUUUUAGUCGAUUUUCAAUACUAAUGUACUAGUAUAACCUGUUUGUUUUUGGUGUUUUUUUUUAUUUCAGAUAGUUUGGGGCGAGUUGUCAGACCUGCAUUCAGUGGGGUUUAAACCCUUUUCGUUAAUAAGUGAGUUG